UACGAACCGUGCAAACGUUGUUCGGAUUCACUGGGCUUAAAGGGCGCGUAGGCGGGCCAUCAAGUCCGGGGUGAAAUACUUCGGCUCAACCGGAGAACAGCCUUGGAUACUGAUGGUCUCGAGGGAGAUAGGGGUGCGUGGAACUUCCGGUGGAGCGGUGAAAUGCGUAGAUAUCGGAAGGAACGCCGAUGGCGAAAGCAGCGCACUGGAUCUCUUCUGACGCUGAGGCGCGAAAGCUAGGGGAGCGAACGGG
RNAcentral lists this ribosomal RNA (253 nucleotides) under uncultured bacterium. RNAcentral's name for it is "partial 16S ribosomal RNA". It matches the Rfam family "Bacterial small subunit ribosomal RNA", at positions 524 to 776 of the family's 1533-position model. The record is from RNAcentral.